GCCAGUGUAUGAAGUGGAAGUGGAACCGAAAAGCAGCAGCUUAGUACGAAGAAUUGCAAAUUACUUGAAUUUGCACAAAAACGCGAUAAAUUCUUAAUUUAACUAAUCGGAAAUACAACGCAUGCGUAUUAACAAAUAGAAAUAACUUAAUUUUAUAAAAUUUGAAACAAUAAACGACGCGAAAAAACGAACGAAACCAAAGUGCUGCUCAUGAAAUAGUGAAAAUGUAAUUUCUCUGCUGCACGACGACGACGACGAAGCAAAAAAUAAAAAAAAAAGCAAGGGAAAGAUAAAAAUAAGAAUCUGUGGUCAGCGCUGGAGCGACUAUCUUAAUCCUUGGUAGUAGUAACUGGAGAUACGGAAACAGAUUUAGCGAUAUAUUCACAGGAGCGCACAAUUUUUUUUGCAAACGAAUAAUAAAUUUUGUAUAUAUACUGCAUACAUAUGUAUAAAGGAAAGGGAAACAGCAGUAAAACAAGACGACAUAGUAGAUGAAGAAGAACAAGCACAAAGUGGAGUUGUGAAAAAAUAAGGUUUUGUUUCCGCUGGCCAGACGGAAUCUAAAAUUUUUAGAAAAACAUAGUAAAAGUGUGGCUUAGGAACCGCUGCGGACCUAAGUGAUUCGAACAGCACCAAUAAAUGGGGAGAAGACUGAUUGCGUAGACACCAGUUUAACGACGUUUACGCUGCGUAUCUAAACCGCACUAUAACCGAAUGGCUGCUCAAAGGUGGAAGCACAGUACGCUUACUACACAAAUAUUAUCGACUGCCGCUGGAGGAUAUUAGGCAACCUCUUCCGUCUUGGCAGCAUUUUUUUUUUUGCGUUAGUUUUUCGUUAUUUUUUCGAUUAGCACCUGUUAACCACUUAUGUAUAUGCCCGCACGUUGUUUAACCAAUAAUAUAGCGCACUCGCCACCGCAAACCAAUCCAAUGCUCGCCAUCAACGAGGAGCAACAGCACACGGAAACGUCGCAUGCAACACAACGCAACCAUGCGGAUGGCAAUGGUGAAGCGCAAACCACUAAUGGAAAUGCCAGCGGCAUCAACCAACAGCAACACAAACAAACUGCUGGCAGCAAUAACAACAGCAGCAGUACACACGAUACAGCGCAGUUGCCACCAUUGCCCGAUGGCCCGCUCUGGACGGUGCUAUACGACUAUGACGCCAAAGGCGAGGAUGAGCUGACGUUGCGACGGGGGCAGAUUGUGGUAGUGCUCUCAAUGGAUAGCAAUAUUUCGGGCGAUGAGGGCUGGUGGACGGGCAAAAUUGGUGAUAAGGUUGGCAUUUUUCCGAGUAACUUUGUGACAGACCAAGAUCCCAUGAUGCCAGACGUGCCCUCUGCCAUUGGCGAUAUACAACCGCAUGAAAUCGACUAUGCCGAACUGGAAGUGAGCGAAGUUAUCGGUGCUGGUGGCUUUUCCAAAGUGCAUCGUGGUUACUACAAUGGCGAAGAGGUUGCGAUAAAAGUGGCACCGCAGGCUGGGCCCGACGUCGAAUCCAACCGCGAUAAUGUGCUACAAGAAGCCAAACUAUUCUGGGUGGUCAAGCAUGAGAACAUCGUGGCGCUGCGAGGUGUCUGCCUAAAGCCUCCCGAUCUCUGUCUUGUUAUGGAGUAUGCACGUGGCGGUAGUUUGAAUCACAUUUUGGCACGUGGCAAAAUACCGCCAGACGUGCUGGUCAACUGGGCGAUACAAAUUGCACGCGGCAUGAACUAUCUGCACAACGAGGCGCCCAUUUCGAUUAUACACCGCGAUUUGAAGAGCUCAAAUGUGCUAAUUUUGGAAGAAAUCAUCGGAGGCAAUUUGCACAACAAAACGUUAAAAAUCACCGACUUCGGUUUGGCGCGCGAACUCUACAACACGACACGCAUAUCAACGGCGGGCACUUAUGCUUGGAUGCCGCCGGAAGUGAUAAAAAGCAGCAUAUACUCCAAAUCCUCGGAUGUUUGGAGCUACGGUGUGCUGUUGUGGGAACUCAUUACCGGUGAAACGCCCUACAAAGGUUUCGAUUCGUAUUCAGUUGUAUUUGGAAUUGCGGUUAAUAUGCUAACGCUACCCAUCCCGAAAACUUGCCCCGAGGCGUGGGGAAAACUCAUGAAAAGCUCCUGGGAGAACGAUCCGCACAAGCGUCCGGGUUUCAGGGAUAUACUAACAAAGCUGGAGGAUAUUGCACGUUCAGGUUUCACGCUAACACCACAGGAGUCGUUCAACACGAUGCAGGAUGGCUGGAAGAAAGAGAUAGCCGAGGUGCUUCACGAGUUGCGCUUAAAAGAAAAGGAAUUGCGCACCAAAGAGGAACGCUUGAACCGUGUUCAAAGCGAACAGGACGAACAGGCCAUGAAUCUGAAACGCUUCGCUGAGCACUUGAAGUUGCGCGAAAUGGCUUUAAUUGGGCGUGAGCUGCAGAUCGCACAGCAUACUCCCACACCGAAUCGAAGACGUGGCAAAUUUAGCAAAGUGAAACUCAAGCUUCUCAAAAAGAACGAAGUGCAAAUCUCAUUACCAACUGACUUUCGGCAUACGGUAACGGCGAUACACGACAAACCCUUGACUGAUACACCACCUGGUUCGCCAGCGAUUUCCCAGCUACGCAUUGUGGCACGCUACAAUUCCAAAGACUGGUGCUCGCCAUUGCAUGCGCUGCCCACUGCCGCCACCGUAGGUGCAAGCAGCACCAUCAUGGACGCGCCGCUGCCCAUUAUGUCGCCAAACCCCUACCUGCUCAGCCGCUUUACUUCCAACAUUCCCAUGCCGACGCUGUAUGCAGGCGACGCAGUGCGCAAGCCAAAGCUCUCCGUCAUCGAGGUGCUGCUCUACAAUAUGGCCGCGCUGUUGGCUGGCGUCGCGGCUGGCUACGAUGUGCGCAUCUCGAACGUAUCACCGGUGCAUCCGUCACUGCUGAGCGAUGUGCCCGCUCUGAAGGCGCCUAUGGAAAUGGAGUUUCCGAGCGUUUUGGAUGAGCGUAGUCGCUUUGCGGCCAACACUUACCACGGCACUGGCAAUAAGCACCAACGUGCCACACUGAACGCCGCCACUUUCGCGCGCUUAGAGGAACAGCGCGCCCCCUUGCAUCAGAGUCCGCGCGGCUCCCCCAAAAUGCAUGCCGCGCCAAACUAUUACUUCCAAAAGCACCCGCUGCCCUUGGCCGAUGCCGGAAGUAAGCUGGCGCAGCAACAACAACAACAGAAGCAAACACAGCAGCACCAGCAACUGCCGCUGACCGGCUCCACUACCAGCGGCUUGGGAUCGAACUUUACCAACAACACCUCGGCGCUGCUGUCAUCGUCGCUGGGUAGCCACACACAGCCACCGACGCCUUCACCACGUCGCAAGAUCAGCACUUCUUCGUUUACGGAGCAACUCGAGUAUUCGAUGCACGAUGACACGCCUCCGACGCGGCACUUUGAUGACGCCUUUCACAUUGGCGGUGGAAUGGCGCCGCCCGCCACGCAAUAUACGCGCGCAGACUACUUGCGCCAUGGACCGAGCUUCUCCAAUGACGGCGGCGCUUACGGCGCAGGUGUACACCGCGCAGGCUACUUCGGAUCCAACUAUUUUCCGUACCGGCCAGAGGUACAGCUGGCCUACCAGCGCGACUGCAAAUCUUAUCCCGACUACUCCUACGACUACAAUCACCGUCUGCCUAACUACUACGACUACAAUUACGAUUCACAACAGCAGCAGCAAGUCACGCCAAAACAUCAACAGCAGCACUACCAAACGCGCACUCCGCCUCCGCGAGUGCCUCAGAUGGGCGUCAGCGCCGCUGGCCAUCGUCGCACACCCUCGACCAUUUCGAAUAGCUCCAACAUCAACCAAGGCUUCUCUUUCGAUCAGGACGAGCUGCAUGCAAACGCCGAUUUGUACGACUACAGCAACCUUAAUCUGCAGCUAAACAUCAAUGUGGGCGCCGGUGGGGCUAUCGUAGGCAGUGCUCCGGACUAUACGCACUAUCGCGAACUGGCGCCACCGCCUCCCGCUCCGGUUGGCGUGGUACCGCCGCCUAGCAAGCACGAGCUCUAUAAGAGUUCGCCCAAAAUGACGCAGCGUUUAAAGCGCGGCUCCAGCGGCAGCAUGGGUUGCGAGACCGGCGGCGGAUUGAAUCGCAUACGCGACUAUGAGAAUGUGCCCGCAUACAUCGGCAGUCCCCUGCAUAGACCCAAGUUCCACAACACGUUAGCGCAGCAGCAACAGCUGCAACGGGAGCGCGAACAGCAGCACCACCCGCUUUUCAGCACCCCGCAACAUAGCCUCUAUACGCACACGCAGUCGACGCCGCUUAGUCCGAUUCAUAUGAAACCAAUGAGCGCGCAAGAGCGCCCAGCUUCUCUUCCUUUCGAGCAGACAACAACAACGGCACUCGGCUUCAACGGAAGCGGUGCUAGCAAACUGCGCUCAUCGCUUAAAAAAUACAAUAGUUACAAGACGCCAAAUGGCACCAGCACGGCCGGGACGACAAUGAGUGCAGCCGAUGUGGGCGCUAACGCGGGCAAUGGUCUUUCGGUGAUAAGUGGCGGAAACGGCGGUGGUAGCGUAACCAAACGUACGGGCAGCGUCUCUUCACAACAGGGCACGCCCACCAAUCCGACACCACCCGACUCGCUCACCAGCGAUGACAGCUCGUAUCUGAGUGCUAAAGAGGGUUCCAUUUCGUCGCAGCACAGUCGCGUGCGGUUCAGUCCAGAAGCGUUUCUGGACGCCAGCAGCGGCAAUGGCAGUAUCAACACCAGUAACAGCAACAAUGGCAGCGUUGGCGGCAGCACUAGCGGCUACAUCAACCAAUCGACAAUAUCGCUGUUUAACCGGCGCAUAUCGAGGCGCCACACCAGCGACAUGUCAGCAACCACGCCACCAUCCUCCUAGCAGGGCAGCGCGACACGCUUUCCAACCACUGCGCUGCAAUUGGCGCGCAGCCCCGGCGCGUUGGUCAGCAGUUCAUUGUCGUUGAAUUCGCCGCAGCAGCAGCAGCAGCAGCAACUCUCCGCGCCGGUGCAAAACUCAAUGCAACAGCUCCCUUAUAGGUGGUACUCGGGCGCACGUCGCUCGCGUUCAGCACAUUACGAAUAUAGGCUGUAAGCGGGCGAAAGCGUGGCCAUAGCUGCGAAAAUCAUAAAUGGAAAAUUGAAUAAGGUAGAGCGCUGAUGGGAGGUCAAGAAGAGGACUGUAGAGGACAGCAGGACUUAUCUCUUCACAAUUGAGUAUUAUAAAGUGACGCUCUGUCGUUUCCAUGGCAACUAUUGUAAAAUUUUCGGUUUCCACUUUUUACAUAAAAAAUCACAGCGUGCAGCCCCAAGAGGAUGUACCCAAAAACUUAGCGAACUUAACAAGUAUUUCGGUCUAGGCUACGCUUCAAUCCGACGUAGUAUACAAAUAGCCUUAGCGUAUAAAAUAUAUAAUGCGUAUUAUAUAAAUAUGAGUACAGAUAUAUACAUAUAUUUGUCUGAUAAUCACUUUUCCAUUUCAAGUCUUACAAAUCAUAAGUAUAUACCUUGUCAGCACAGCCAAGAGUAUCUGGUAAUCACUCUCUUUUUAGUAAAUCCUUAAUCAUAAAAAUUCGAGUCAGCAUUUAGUUACAUGUAAUCACUCUAACAGGCUUCAUCGACCUUAAUGUGCAUGCAAAUAUUUAGGGAAUAUAUUCGUACAUGUAAAAAGUGCAUAAAUAAUGUGCUGAAUUGCUGUUAAAUGCGCUGAAUAUUGCUAAACAAAUAAAUACCAUGCAAAUAUGAAUGUGCUUACAACUAAAAUUCAAAUAUAAGCGAGCUGAAUUGUAUUAUGCGCACGAUAGAGUAAUCGAUAAGCAAACUAUGAACUGUUAUAGAAUUGCAAGUCUAUAUGGGCAUUGCUAGAGCUUAUUCGGGCUUAGUGUGCGAACGUGCAGCCAAAUCCAACAUUACACUCAUUAGUAUAAGGCGCUGAAUAGCAGCUAAAUGAGCUGAAUUGCAAAAAAAAGCUACUUUGUAUGUGACUAUGAAAGACAGCGUAAAAAAAUUCGUUUCUAGGUUUACGCUUAAUUGCGCUGAAUGAGACUAAUGACAUUUUUAAAUUAAAAUCAAGCAAAAAUAAGACAGUAAAAGUGAAAAGCGACUAUCUUAGGCAGAUAUUAAUGGUGCUGAAUAGCAAAUAAGUGCAAUGAAGUACGCUGAAUAUGGCUCGAAAGCGGUUAAAAGCUUAUAUCAUAAUAACAACUUAAACAAGAAGCUCACGAAGUCACAAAAUCGUUAAAAUCAAUAGUUAAAUCAUAAAUAUAUACACCCGUAUGCGUCAAACGAUUUUCAACGGCUCAUUACUCCAAAUAUGCCAACUUCUCCAUAACCACUUCAUUACCUUUGCCAAACAUAUGUAUGUACCGCACGCAAUAAAAGCUCAGAAUUUAUACAUAAAUACAAUUCCUGCAUACUAACCCAAGUAUUUAAAAUCGUUUUGCUUUUAAGUAAUAAACUAAGGCUUACAAGUUUUUGCGAAAACCGUAAUUCAGAGCAUAUAGUAAAUAGUAAAAAAAAAAAAAAAAUAAAAAAUCGAAUGAACGUAUGCAGACUAACCAGUAAGAAGAAAAUUAAAUCGACUUGAAAAAUGUAUGUAAUUGAUGCCUUAACAAGAAAUUUUGAAAAAAAAAAAAAUUAAGUACUCAAUCAACAAAAAGUCUUGAACCAAAAUAUGUGUAUUUAUUACGGAAUUAAGAAAACCAAAAUAUUGCUACAUAUAACCCAUCCAACCAAAAAAAAAAAAUUAACGUAAUACUCUCGUAAUUCCAUAUGUAUGUAUUCUUUGAAACUUGUUUGCAUUUGAAUUUAGAAAUUGUGAAAUUAAGGAUUUUAAAGUUUCUUCUUCGUCUUUGUAUACUUACAAGAAGAAUUGCAUGGGUGCAUAAAUUUAAGGCUGAUGUUAUUUCAUAAGUGUAUCUACAUAUACAUAUGUACAUAUGUAUGAAUUAUCGUUAUACAAAAAAUUUACUGUUGGUACAGUAGACACUCGCUGGCUUGAACGUUGUUGUGGUGCAACAAAGCGAAAAAAAACCUAAAGCGAACGUAAGCUCCGAUUUAUUUUUUUUUUUUAUGUAGAGAAAGUGCAAGUUAUCGCUGUACGACUGUACCAAUGUUUGUUUAAAAACAGGUAGCUUAAGUAAGCUUGAAAUAUCGGUUAUUGCUGGAAUGAGAGGUAAAGUAUUUUCAUGAAAUUCGCUCGAGUAUUUUAAUCGUAAAAUUUAUUGAGCAUAAAAUGAAAAAAGUGUACUCAAAAAAUUAAGAACAUUUUUUAUGCAUAGCUUUCAUAAAACAAAAUAUAAUUACAUAUUAAAGAUCCGAAAUUGGCACUCUAAAUAUUUGUGGUACUCACUCAGUCAGCACACUUGUAUUUAAAGAUGAAUUUUUUUACCAAAAAAAUUGCCAUUCCCUGUACAUUCCAAACACGUAAAAUUUUAUUAAUUACAAAAAUUAGAUUUUGCAAGCAAACAAAAUUUCAUAUAAAUGUAGUCACUUUGGAAGCAAAAGAAAAGUAUAUACAAGGGAAAAUGACAAUCUGAGGCAAGACCACCCUAACUUUCACUCUCUCUGUCCUGGAGAGUGGAACAAAUAAGAAUUCUAAUGAAGAAACUAUCAAAAGUCCUUGAGACUUUAGUUCCCAAAUUGUUCUUCGAUAGAAAGUUCCUUCGACUUUUUUACCGUUUUGUUCUUUGCCAGAAUGUUCCGAAGACGUUUGUUCCAAUUUCGAUCUCUAUAUAAUUCCCGUUGGGAACGUUCUCGAAAGUUUUGUUCUCACUUUCGUUUUUGUAAAAACACUCCCUAAGUUUUUGUUCUCAUUUCGGUUUGAGUUUUUAAGCGUUCUUGGGAACAAAACUACGGGAACCACAUUUCGUUUCGAUCAUAACUUUGUUCUCGGUUUCUUAAAAAAAAAGUUAAUUUCUUAAGAGAAAUUCGUGAGCAAAAAAAAAACUGGUGAACUAAAAAUAAUAUAAUAAACUUCAACGAGUGAGCUGAACACAGGAAUUCACUGGUAUUUAUUUAUGAAAUAUUGACACCCAAAUUUUACGCUUGAGAAAGUAGGAAAAAUGCGACCAAAAAACCGUGAAAAAGAUAUAAUCAGGGCCGAUUCCAUGUGAAUAAAUCGUUUCCAUUAUUUAACAUGCAAACCAAAAACAACUUUUGGUAAUGUUUUUUCGUGUGAAAUUCGCGAUGGGCCGAUUAUGAAUUUCGUUCCGUUUUUCAAGAGCGCAGCGCAAGAAUAAGAACAACUCUUGAGCCAAAAUAAAAAUUAAGCGAGCCAAAAGUAGAUCGACACUUCCCCUGAAAAAUGGUCUCCUUACAAAAGUGCGAAACAUAAGAUUGUAAGCAAAAAUAUUAAACAAGGAGGCUAGUACUUUAAGGUGGGAAAAUGGGCACAUUAAGGGCAAACGGUCAAAUUAAGGACGAAACAUUUGAAUGAUGCUAAAAA
This 8427-nucleotide unclassified non-coding RNA is filed under the name Rhagoletis pomonella (apple maggot). Its description in RNAcentral is "uncharacterized LOC118754422, transcript variant X1". Lineage: Eukaryota; Metazoa; Arthropoda; Insecta; Diptera; Tephritidae. The record is from RNAcentral.